RNAcentral lists this ribosomal RNA (492 nucleotides) under uncultured bacterium. RNAcentral's name for it is "partial 16S ribosomal RNA". It matches the Rfam family "Bacterial small subunit ribosomal RNA", at positions 32 to 507 of the family's 1533-position model. The record is from RNAcentral.
CUUUAACUCUGGCGGUAGGCCUAACACAUGCAAGUCGAACGGCAGCACAGUAAGAGCUUGCUCUUACGGGUGGCGAGUGGCGGACGGGUGAGGAAUACAUCGGAAUCUACUUUUUCGUGGGGGAUAACGUAGGGAAACUUACGCUAAUACCGCAUACGACCUACGGGUGAAAGCAGGGGAUCUUCGGCCCUUGCGCGAUUGAAUGAGCCGAUGUCGGAUUAGCUAGUUGGCGGGGUAAAGGCCCACCAAGGCGACGAUCCGUAGCUGGUCUGAGAGGAUGAUCAGCCACACUGGAACUGAGACACGGUCCAGACUCCUACGGGAGGCAGCAGUGGGGAAUAUUGGACAAUGGGCGCAAGCCUGAUCCAGCCAUACCGCGUGGGUGAAGAAGGCCUUCGGGUUGUAAAGCCCUUUUGUUGGGAAAGAAAAGCAGCAGGUUAAUACCCCGCUGUUCUGACGGUACCCAAAGAAUAAGCACCGGCUAACUUCGUG